RNAcentral lists this small RNA (741 nucleotides) under Pan troglodytes (chimpanzee). Its description in RNAcentral is "processed transcript". Lineage: Eukaryota; Metazoa; Chordata; Mammalia; Primates; Hominidae. The record is from RNAcentral.
UGGAUGAAAAGCCAGCCAGCACGCCCUGGGGCAGCAAGAUGCCUUUUGGGCAGCUGAUGUCAGAGUUUGGUGGCAGUGGCACUGGUGGCUGGGUCCACGGGGUGAGCUUCUCUGCCAGUGGGAGCCGCCUGGCCUGGGUCAGCCACGACAGCACCGUGUCUGUUGCUGAUGCCUCAAAAAGUGUGCAGGUCUCGACUCUGAAGACAGAGUUCCUGCCGCUCCUGAGUGUGUCAUUUGUCUCAGAGAACAGCGUCGUGGCUGCUGGCCAUGACUGCUGCCCAAUGCUCUUUAACUACGAUGACCGCGGCUGCCUGACCUUCGUCUCCAAGUUAGACAUUCCAAAACAGAGCAUCCAACGCAACAUGUCUGCCAUGGAACGCUUCCGCAACAUGGACAAGAGAGCCACAACUGAGGACCGCAACACGGCCUUGGAGACGCUGCACCAGAAUAGCAUCACGUGCAGAUUACAAGGCAGCAGCCAGCAGGAGCAGUGCAGACCUUGUUGCAAUCUGAGGUGGUGGGGCCUCAGGGCAGCUGCUUCCUAGGGUACCCUUUCUCAGCUACUCGAGAACAAAAGGAGACAUUCCUGAAUGCUGCGUUCCCACAGUAGUGCACACAUAACAGAAAGCGAAGUUACAGCCUGUUGGAAAAGGUAACUGUAGCUGUCAUUUCAAGUAAUGGAUACAAAUAAGAAGAUUAUUUAAUUAAAGGAACAGAAUUUCUUAUCAUCAUGAUGACAAA